This 2451-nucleotide long non-coding RNA is filed under the name Cucumis sativus (cucumber). Its description in RNAcentral is "long non-coding RNA (CSAT_LNC002831)". The record is from RNAcentral. Lineage: Eukaryota; Viridiplantae; Streptophyta; Magnoliopsida; Cucurbitales; Cucurbitaceae.
GCCAUUGUACAAUAUGAACAAAUACAUUACAACGAAAUACAAAAAUGAAAAUGAUAGAAAUGAUAUUUCAAAUUAGAGGAAAAGGGAGAUCAACUCUUUUCUACUCGAACCUCGAGUUUUCACUCAUUGACUAAUCGAAGAAGAGGAAGAAAAGCAUAUACAGACAGUGGAAAGACUAUUCCUUUCCACCACUCUCUAGGGUUUAGCCCAUUCAGGCCAUAUGUGUUUGUGGCUCAUUCAAGCAUUUAUAUGGCCCAUACAGACUUACUCUUCUUCGUAGGGGUGGAGUCCUUUUUAUAGGCAGAUUCGAGCAGGAAACUUCUAUUCUUCUAGGCAUGUCAGUGUUGAAAGCCGCCUAUGUCAAGUCACAUCAACUCCAUCUACUACUUUUGUCUUCUAGCGAAGCUCUUCUAGCCUGCUGAUAAUGUCUUCUCUAGUAGUCUUCAUGCGAGUUCCUUUGUGAUUCACUAGCUUCUUCUUUUGUUCAAAUCUUGCGUUAAGACUGAAGGAAUACGAUAUAUGUGCAGCGAAAAAAAAUGGAUCUAUUUACUCUAAAUGCAAAGGGUUAAAGAAAAUAUGUACCCUCGUAGCUUCUCAAUUCCUCAGUAAUCUCCUCACGAACUCAAACGGAAACCACUACUAGUGUUGACCCGGUAUUCUUCAUAUUUAGAACCAGGUUGUGGGACCCGAUUAGGUGAAGGAACUAAGAGAGAGGAAUGAAAAUAAGAGGAGGAAUUUUUGUUUGAAAUUUGGAAGAGAAAAUUAGGUUGAAAUAAAUUUGUAAUUCAUAAAAACAAAAUUUUUCCAAAAGUCCCCACCAAAUUGAAAAAUGUCCUUUAAAUAAGCUAAUUACAUGUAAUUAGUUUCUUAAAUCUCAACACCUAAUAAUCCACUAACAAUAGAACUUAGUGGACUAGGUGUUUUCAUCUUAUUUAGUCACCUAUCCUAUUAAGUUUUAGUGGGAUUAUUCAACAAAAAAUUUUAUUUUUCCACUAACAUUAGUUCAAGGAUAAUAUCGUCAAUUGACCAAUCAAGUAAAAGUCAAAUUUUGACUUUUGAACAUUUUGAAUUCUUACAAUUUUUUCUGUCUUGACUAGUUUCAAUCUCCUGAGAAUGAAUCUGCAUUCAUUUUUCUAAAAUUCAAAUCACAUUUGAAUAUAAAGUCGGUCAAAGUUUGACUUUUCAAAGUCAAUAGUCAACAUUUUGACAUUUUUCAACUUUGACAAUUUUCAUCAAUUUCGAGCUUUCAAAUAUGAAUCUGUAUUCAUAUUUUAAAUAUUUAAAUCAUAUUUAAAUAUAAUGCACUAUAUCAAACUUAUAGUCGAUGACUAUAUCACAUAUUCGUCAGUUUCUCACUCUUUACUUAAUUCGAACAAUUUGAAUUAUUCUAACAUAUUGUUCUAAGUUAAUUCCAUAUGAGCUAGUAGAGGAACCUAAUGGAUCUAUAGUUCAUGUGUUCCAACGAUCCAAGAUUAACUUGUUAAACCCUUUUAGACCGAGCUAAUCAUUAUUCGUUAACUAACGGGUCAUCCCACUAAAGUCUCAUAGUUGCACUCCCCUCACUAUAGAUAUAUUUUUGUCCAUCUGAUAUAACCAUGAUCAAUAAGUUAAUCUUUCACAUGUUGUUCGUAACAUGGAUUAGGUCAAAAUAUCAUUUUACCCUCGAGAUUACAUCUUGCUCCUUAAAUUCCUACUGAUCCACUAUUGAACAAUUGGUUUAAGAUCCAACCUAUAAACAGAAUCCCUCUUGGGCCAAUGAGAGGGUGAGACCCCUUGUUCAAGACUUGGAUUCAGUCUUUAAUAAAACAAUCUAUCUACUAACCAUAAAACGGAUAGGAGGGAAUUCCAUCUUGCACCUUAUGUCCCUAGUCAUCCAUUCGGUCUUACCCCUUGAAAUGCAAGGCUUAUUGUGCCAGCGUCGCUUAACUACCAACACCUAUGCAUACCUAAGAAUAAUUUCCUAUGAACAGAAGUUCAUAGGUAGUUCAGGAUUAAGAUUAAGUUACCUAGGUCAUCGUUAAAUGAAAUAGUCAGUUUUAUACAGUCAACAGUGUUAUAACAUAAAAGUGACUAUUUUUCAUGGUUCCAGUCUUAUGUUAACUCUUUACAAAGGAUGCCCCCACUUACAUGUCUCUAUAUGAAUGAUUUAAGAUCACGUCGUUCAUUAUAAGGCAAUCAUAAUCCUUAAUCCAAAGAUCCAAACUAUUAACGUAGUAGGAAUAUUUGAAAUAAGAAACUAACACCUCCUUAUACUAAUUUAGAUCAGCCAAGAGAAAGUUAGGAUUAGAUUACCUCUUAGAUCGAAGAUCUAGAACCAAGAUUUGAAAAUCUUGUUCUAAAUUGAGUCACUUCACAAUCAAACUUCAUCAAGUUAGAUUAAAUGGCUCGCAUGCAUUAUAUCACAAGAAUUGCAAAUUAAGGAAAAACUCUCAAAAAUGAGAUUCAAAUUGA